RNAcentral lists this long non-coding RNA (370 nucleotides) under Homo sapiens (human). Its description in RNAcentral is "HSALNT0220381". The record is from RNAcentral. Lineage: Eukaryota; Metazoa; Chordata; Mammalia; Primates; Hominidae.
UAGAGACAGGAUUUUGCCAUGUUGCCCAGGCUUGAACUCCUGGGCUCAAGUGAUCUGCCCACCUCAGCCUCCCAAGGUGCUGGGAUUACAGGGUAAGCCACAGCACAGCUCCAGCUGCAUCUGAUGUCACUGCUAUGGCAGUGAAGAAUGAAAACCAAAGGACAACUGGCUACUUAAGGAAUUAAGCGGACUAAAAUGAAAACCAUUCACAGAAGCAGUUCCAGUACUCUGGCUGAGACUCUGUUUUCCUACAUACAGCCCACACAUUCUGAAUAUACUCAAAUCUACGCAAUUUCAAACUUAGAAAACUUUAACUGCUGCCCCACUGAAGCCAUUUUCAAGCUGGAAUCAUGUAUAAUAAACUACUCCA